Molecule: transfer RNA, 69 nt
Filed under: Lonchothrix emiliae (tuft-tailed spiny tree rat)
Lineage: Eukaryota; Metazoa; Chordata; Mammalia; Rodentia; Echimyidae
Description: tRNA-Glu
Rfam family: tRNA
About the family: Transfer RNA (tRNA) molecules are approximately 80 nucleotides in length. Their secondary structure includes four short double-helical elements and three loops (D, anti-codon, and T loops). Further hydrogen bonds mediate the characteristic L-shaped molecular structure. tRNAs have two regions of fundamental functional importance: the anti-codon, which is responsible for specific mRNA codon recognition, and the 3' end, to which the tRNAs corresponding amino acid is attached (by aminoacyl-tRNA synthetases). tRNAs cope with the degeneracy of the genetic code in two manners: having more than one tRNA (with a specific anti-codon) for a particular amino acid; and 'wobble' base-pairing, i.e. permitting non-standard base-pairing at the 3rd anti-codon position.
Source: RNAcentral
GUUCUUAUAGUUGAAUUACAACGGUGGUUUUUCAUAUCAUUAGUCAUGGUCAAAAUCCAUGUAGGAAUU